AUUGAACGCUGGCGGCAGGCUUAACACAUGCAAGUCGAGCGGAGAUGAGGUGCUUGCACCUUAUCUUAGCGGCGGACGGGUGAGUAAUGCUUAGGAAUCUGCCUAUUAGUGGGGGACAACAUUCCGAAAAGAAUGCUAAUACCGCAUACGUCCUACGGGAGAAAGCAGGGGAUCUUCGGACCUUGCGCUAAUAGAUGAGCCUAAGUCGGAUUAGCUAGUUGGUGGGGUAAAGGCCUACCAAGGCGACGAUCUGUAGCGGGUCUGAGAGGAUGAUCCGCCACACUGGGACUGAGACACGGCCCAGACUCCUACGGGAGGCAGCAGUGGGGAAUAUUGGACAAUGGGGGGAACCCUGAUCCAGCCAUGCCGCGUGUGUGAAGAAGGCCUUAUGGUUGUAAAGCACUUUAAGCGAGGAGGAGGCUACUGAGACUAAUACUCUUGGAUAGUGGACGUUACUCGCAGAAUAAGCACCGGCUAACUCUGCGCCAGCCGCCGCCGUAA
Molecule: ribosomal RNA, 501 nt
Filed under: uncultured bacterium
Lineage: Bacteria
Description: partial 16S ribosomal RNA
Rfam family: Bacterial small subunit ribosomal RNA
Source: RNAcentral